CCUACGGGAGGCAGCAGUGAGGAAUAUUGGUCAAUGGACGGAAGUCUGAACCAGCCAUGCCGCGUGCAGGAAGACGGCUCUAUGAGUUGUAAACUGCUUUUGUACAAGGGUAAACCUGAAUACGUGUAUUCAGCUGAAAGUACUGUACGAAUAAGGAUCGGCUAACUCCGUGCCAGCAGCCGCGGUAAUACGGAGGAUCCAAGCGUUAUCCGGAUUUAUUGGGUUUAAAGGGUGCGUAGGCGGAUUGAUAAGUUAGAGGUGAAAUGUCCGAGCUUAACUCGGGAACUGCCUCUAAUACUGUUGGUCUAGAGAGUAGAUGCGGUAGGCGGAAUGUAUGGUGUAGCGGUGAAAUGCUUAGAGAUCAUACAGCACACCGAUUGCGAAGGCAGCUUACCAAUCUAUAUCUGACGUUGAGGCACGAAAGCGUGGGGAGCAAACAGGAUUAGAUACCCGGGUAGUC
RNAcentral lists this ribosomal RNA (460 nucleotides) under uncultured bacterium. RNAcentral's name for it is "partial 16S ribosomal RNA". It matches the Rfam family "Bacterial small subunit ribosomal RNA", at positions 338 to 795 of the family's 1533-position model. The record is from RNAcentral.